RNAcentral lists this ribosomal RNA (433 nucleotides) under uncultured bacterium. RNAcentral describes it as "partial 16S ribosomal RNA". It matches the Rfam family "Bacterial small subunit ribosomal RNA", at positions 29 to 507 of the family's 1533-position model. The record is from RNAcentral.
AACGAACGCUGGCGGCAUGCCUAACACAUGCAAGUCGAACGAGACCUUCGGGUCUAGUGGCGCACGGGUGCGUAACGCGUGGGAACCUGCCCUUAGGUUCGGAAUAACUCCCCGAAAGGGGUGCUAAUAACGGAUAAUGUCUUCGGACCAAAGAUUUAUCGCGUUUGGAUGGGCCCGCGUUGGAUUGGCUGGUUGGUAGGGUAAAAGCCUACCAUGGCGACGAUCCAUAGCUGGUCUGAGAGGAGGAUAAGCCACACUGGAACUGAGGCACGGCCCAGACUCGUACGGAGGGGAGCAGAAGGGAGUAUUGGAGGAGGAGGGAAGACCUGAUCCAGCAGUGCCGGGUGAGUGAUGAAGGCCUUAGGGUUGUAAAGCUCUUUUACCCGAGAUGAUAAUGACAGUACCGGGAGAAUAAGCACCGGCUAACUCCGUG